CCCUUAGAUGAUUUGGGCUGCACGCGCGCUACACUGACCCUAACAAUGAGCAACUGUCUGGCCUGAGAUGGCUGGGUAGCCUUUUCAACCCAUGUCAUGAUUGGGCUAGAUUUUUGUAAGUCUUGAUCUCUAACGAGGAAUCCCUAGUAUGCGUGAAUCAUCAAUCCAUGCAGAUUAUGUCCCUGCCCUUUGUACACACCGCCCGUCGCUCCUACUGAUUGGGUGAUCCGGUGAAGCCUCGGGAUUGUGGCGGUUGCCUUUAUUGGUGGCCGCCGCGAGAACUUGUCUAAACCUUAUCAUCUAGAGGAAGGUGAAGUCGUAACA
RNAcentral lists this ribosomal RNA (324 nucleotides) under uncultured eukaryote. RNAcentral describes it as "partial 18S ribosomal RNA". It matches the Rfam family "Eukaryotic small subunit ribosomal RNA", at positions 1470 to 1796 of the family's 1831-position model. The record is from RNAcentral.